Molecule: ribosomal RNA, 1434 nt
Filed under: uncultured organism
Description: SSU rRNA
Rfam family: Bacterial small subunit ribosomal RNA
Source: RNAcentral
AUGAUGAACGCUAGCUACAGGCUUAACACAUGCAAGUCGAGGGGCAGCAUUUCAGUUUGCUUGCAAACUGGAGAUGGCGACCGGCGCACGGGUGAGUAACACGUAUCCAACCUGCCGAUAACUCGGGGAUAGCCUUUCGAAAGAAAGAUUAAUACCCGAUGGCAUAAUUAGACCGCAUGGUCUUAUUAUUAAAGAAUUUCGGUUAUCGAUGGGGAUGCGUUCCAUUAGGCAGUUGGUGAGGUAACGGCUCACCAAACCUUCGAUGGAUAGGGGUUCUGAGAGGAAGGUCCCCCACAUUGGAACUGAGACACGGUCCAAACUCCUACGGGAGGCAGCAGUGAGGAAUAUUGGUCAAUGGGCGCAGGCCUGAACCAGCCAAGUAGCGUGAAGGAUGACUGCCCUAUGGGUUGUAAACUUCUUUUAUAUGGGAAUAAAGUUUUCCACGUGUGGAAUUUUGUAUGUACCAUAUGAAUAAGGAUCGGCUAACUCCGUGCCAGCAGCCGCGGUAAUACGGAGGAUCCGAGCGUUAUCCGGAUUUAUUGGGUUUAAAGGGAGCGUAGGUGGACAGUUAAGUCAGUUGUGAAAGUUUGCGGCUCAACCGUAAAAUCGCAGUUGAUACUGGCUGUCUUGAGUACAGUAGAGGUGGGCGGAAUUCGUGGUGUAGCGGUGAAAUGCUUAGAUAUCACGAAGAACUCCGAUUGCGAAGGCAGCUCACUGGACUGCAACUGACACUGAUGCUCGAAAGUGUGGGUAUCAAACAGGAUUAGAUACCCUGGUAGUCCACACAGUAAACGAUGAAUACUCGCUGUUUGCGAUAUACAGUAAGCGGCCAAGCGAAAGCAUUAAGUAUUCCACCUGGGGAGUACGCCGGCAACGGUGAAACUCAAAGGAAUUGACGGGGGCCCGCACAAGCGGAGGAACAUGUGGUUUAAUUCGAUGAUACGCGAGGAACCUUACCCGGGCUUAAAUUGCAUUUGAAUAUAUUGGAAACAGUAUAGCCGUAAGGCAAAUGUGAAGGUGCUGCAUGGUUGUCGUCAGCUCGUGCCGUGAGGUGUCGGCUUAAGUGCCAUAACGAGCGCAACCCUUAUCUUUAGUUACUAACAGGUCAUGCUGAGGACUCUAGAGAGACUGCCGUCGUAAGAUGUGAGGAAGGUGGGGAUGACGUCAAAUCAGCACGGCCCUUACGUCCGGGGCUACACACGUGUUACAAUGGGGGGUACAGAAGGCAGCUACCUGGUGACAGGAUGCUAAUCCCAAAAGCCUCUCUCAGUUCGGAUCGAAGUCUGCAACCCGACUUCGUGAAGCUGGAUUCGCUAGUAAUCGCGCAUCAGCCAUGGCGCGGUGAAUACGUUCCCGGGCCUUGUACACACCGCCCGUCAAGCCAUGAAAGCCGGGGGUAAAAGAAGUACGUAACCGCAAGGAGCGUCCUAGGGU